AAAAAAACCUAACUCUUCAUCUUCUCACAGAACCAAACAAAACCUCCUCUUCAUCUCACAGAUCCAAACCCAUGGCUUCUCCUAAUUGGGAUAUCUCCAUCUACGGGACAAAUGACCAUAACAACUUCCAUGUAUGUUGAAAAGUGAAGAGUUAUAUUUGUAAUUGACCCGAUCCUUAUAUGGCAUUAUCAGAAGGCGGCACUUGCUGGCCAAAACUAUUUGAAUGGGGUCUCGCCUAUAGUGAAUUUUUUUUUGCCAUGUCUUCUAGUGCCUCUUGAGUAUGAAUAUUUUCAAUUAGAUGGGGAAAAUUUUGGACGCGGCUCUGGACGAUAUAUCAACAUACACCUAUUGUAGGGCUGCUGAUAUGAAUGGCUGCUCACUUUUCAUGAUAAUAUACGUUGUGCACUUUGUUUAGUUAGGUGAUUUUCAUGUAAUUAGUAUCGUUGACCAUUAUAGAUAGUAAUUUGUAAUGUGAUAUGGCUAUUUAAUAGAAAUUUAUCCACUAACCAUU
Molecule: long non-coding RNA, 511 nt
Filed under: Helianthus annuus (common sunflower)
Lineage: Eukaryota; Viridiplantae; Streptophyta; Magnoliopsida; Asterales; Asteraceae
Description: hypothetical non coding rna
Source: RNAcentral